RNAcentral lists this non-coding RNA (45 nucleotides) under Echinostoma caproni. The record is from RNAcentral. Lineage: Eukaryota; Metazoa; Platyhelminthes; Trematoda; Plagiorchiida; Echinostomatidae.
GCACUACUGAUGAGUUGUAAACAAAACGAAACUCGAGUCUACUGC